This 103-nucleotide transfer RNA is filed under the name Pseudozyma flocculosa. RNAcentral's name for it is "Anthracocystis flocculosa transfer RNA-Pseudo(CTC)". The record is from RNAcentral. Lineage: Eukaryota; Fungi; Basidiomycota; Ustilaginomycetes; Ustilaginales; Ustilaginaceae.
UCCUGGUUAGUACAAUGGUCAGUAUAGGACACUCUCACCUGCGCCUUCUCCACUGCGAGAAGACGGUGCUGUUCAGAUCGGGGUUCGAUUCCCCGGCCGGGAA